RNAcentral lists this ribosomal RNA (760 nucleotides) under uncultured delta proteobacterium. RNAcentral's name for it is "bacterial SSU rRNA". It matches the Rfam family "Bacterial small subunit ribosomal RNA", at positions 50 to 783 of the family's 1533-position model. The record is from RNAcentral. Lineage: Bacteria; Deltaproteobacteria.
AACACAUGCAAGUCGCACGAGAACGUUUCAGCUUGCUGAAACUAGUAAAGUGGCGCACGGGUGAGUAACGCGUGGGUAAUCUACCUCCGAAUUGGGGAUAACAUUGCGAAAGCGAUGCUAAUACCGAAUGACAUCUCAAUAACUCCGGUCUUUGAGAUCAAAGGUGGCCUCUCCAUGGAAGCUACUGUUUGGAGAUGAGCCCGCGUACCAUUAGCUUGGGGGAGGGUAAUGGCCUACCAAGGCGACGAUGGUUAGCUGGUCUGAGAGGAUGAUCAGCCACACUGGAACUGACACACGGUCCAGACUCCUACGGGAGGCAACAGUGAGGAAUUUUGCGCAAUGGGGGAAACCCUGACGCAGCAACGCCGCGUGAGUGAUGAAGGCUUUCGGGUCGUAAAGCUCUGUCAAGUGAGAAGAACCUGUCCUUUGCUAAUAUCACUGGGCACUGACGGUAUCACUGAAGGAAGCACCGGCUAACUCCGUGCCAGCAGCCGCGGUAAUACGGAGGGUGCAAGCGUUAUUCGGAAUCACUGGGCGUAAAGAGCGCGUAGGCGGUUUCUAAAGUCAGAUGUGAAAGCCCGGGGCUCAACCCCGGAAGUGCAUUUGAAACUUAGGGACUUGAGUAUGGGAGAGGGAAGUGGAAUUCCUGGUGUAGCGGUGAAAUGCGUAGAUAUCAGGAGGAACACCGGUGGCGAAGGCGACUUUCUGGACCAAUACUGACGCUGAGGCGCGAAGGCGUGGGGAGCAAACAGGAUUAGAU